UAGUUGGUGAGGUAACGGCUCACCAAGGCGACGAUGCGUAGCCGACCUGAGAGGGUGAUCGGCCACAUUGGAACUGAGACACGGUCCAGACUCCUACGGGAGGCAGCAGUGGGGAAUAUUGCACAAUGGGCGAAAGCCUGAUGCAGCAACGCCGCGUGAGUGAUGAAGGCCUUCGGGUCGUAAAGCUCUUUGAUCAGGGAUGAUAAUGACAGUACCUGAAAAACAAGCCACGGCUAACUACGUGCCAGCAGCCGCGGUAAUACGUAGGUGGCGAGCGUUGUCCGGAAUUACUGGGCGUAAAGGAUGCGUAGGUGGAUACUUAAGUGGGAUGUGAAAUCCCCGGGCUCAACCCGGGAACUGCAUUCCAAACUGGGUAUCUAGAGUGCAGGAGAGGAAAGCGGAAUUCCUAGUGUAGCGGUGAAAUGCGUAGAUAUUAGGAGGAACACCAGUGGCGAAGGCGGCUUUCUGGACUGUAACUGACACUGAGGCAUGAAAGCGUGGGUAGCAAACAGGAUUAGAUACCCUGGUAGUCCACGCCGUAAACGAUGGGUACUAGGUGUAGGAGGUAUCGACCCCUUCUGUGCCGUCGUUAACACAAUAAGUACCCCGC
RNAcentral lists this ribosomal RNA (610 nucleotides) under uncultured Bacillota bacterium. RNAcentral describes it as "bacterial SSU rRNA". It matches the Rfam family "Bacterial small subunit ribosomal RNA", at positions 246 to 872 of the family's 1533-position model. The record is from RNAcentral. Lineage: Bacteria; Bacillati; Bacillota.